GUCCACACCGUAACGAUGAUUACUAGGUGUUGGAGGAUUGACCCUUCAGUGCCGCAGUUAACACAAUAAGUAAUCCACCUGGGAGUACGACCGCAAGGUUGAACUCAAGGAAUUGACGGGGCCCGCACAAGCAGUGGAGUAUGUGGUUUAAUUCGACGCAACGCGAAGAACCUUACCAAGUCUUGACAUCCUGCGACGGUUCUGGAAACAGAACUUUCCUUCGGGACGCAGAGACAGGUGGUGCAUGGUUGUCGU
RNAcentral lists this ribosomal RNA (255 nucleotides) under uncultured bacterium. RNAcentral's name for it is "partial 16S ribosomal RNA". It matches the Rfam family "Bacterial small subunit ribosomal RNA", at positions 793 to 1055 of the family's 1533-position model. The record is from RNAcentral.